Long non-coding RNA from Macrosteles quadrilineatus (aster leafhopper), 670 nucleotides. RefSeq lists it as uncharacterized. The record is from RefSeq and is a predicted model, not a curated record. Lineage: Eukaryota; Metazoa; Arthropoda; Insecta; Hemiptera; Cicadellidae. The transcript is spliced from 4 exons.
UGUUUAGACUAGAGCAUCUACUUCUGAUUUUCAGUGUUACACGCGUGAAGAAUUCGUUGUUUUGUUAUUAUUUACUUAUUAAUUAUGUCUAUUAGUUACUUUUUACUAUAUAUUCUUUAAGAUUUGCGUUACAUCUUCGACUUUUUAACUUCAGUGGCGAUUCGACUAACUUGAGUUGGCGUAGUUACGAGUGAAGUAGUCUCCAGUUGUCCGCCGCACCGUUUGGUUAGGUCGGCCAAACCAAACUGUGCGACUCAGAGGCAAGUGGGAGGGAUUGUUGGUCUCAUGCUCCGCCGGCCGCAGACCUUGCGGAAACUAGCGUGGGGGAGAUUGACCGCGGUGGACCUAGGUCAGUUAUCUUCGCACGGUUGGCGGGGCCAGUGUUGAGGACUCAACAAGACGGAUCCUUGUAAGACUAUUCAAAAAUGAGCUUGCGAGAGAAUUUAGUUGGGAAGGAAGAGGAGGAAAGAAGUGGAGUCUGCAGAACUCUGCAUUGGUGCAGUUGAUUUGCCGUGUAGUUCGUCAACAACACCCGUCCUCAUUCGAUCUCACAACGUUUGAGAAAAAAACCAGCGAAUGGUUACGCCAAGCAGGAACAAGGAUUUAUGUCAAAAAUAAAAAUUUAGGCCUACCGCAGAUUAUCAAUUAAAUAGUUUUUUCUUGACAUUUC